Molecule: ribosomal RNA, 253 nt
Filed under: uncultured bacterium
Lineage: Bacteria
Description: partial 16S ribosomal RNA
Rfam family: Bacterial small subunit ribosomal RNA
Source: RNAcentral
UACGUAGGGCGCAAGCGUUGUCCGGAAUUAUUGGGCGUAAAGGGCGUGCAGGUGGUCUGUUAAGUCUGGCGUGAAAGCUCCUGGCUAAACCGGGAGAGGUCGUUGGAUACUGGCGGACUAGAGGACGGUAGAGGCGUGUGGAAUUCCGGGUGUAGUGGUGAAAUGCGUAGAGAUCCGGAGGAACACCAGUGGCGAAGGCGACACGCUGGGCCGUACCUGACACUGAUACGCGACAGCAUGGGGAGCGAACGGG